AUUGGGUUUGUACCCGUAUGCAUAAAUUAAAAAAAAAAAAAAAAAAAAAAUUAUUUUUUUAUAAACAGCACAGUGUUUGGUAUGUGUAAAAAAUUAUAAUAAUGACGAAAAUAAAUUGUGUGUAAAACAAGUGCUCAUGACAAUUUGUGUAUAAUAUUAGUGAUACAUUGAAAUAAUCAGAUAUCACAGAUAAACAAUGAUAUUUGUGGCGAUUAGUAAAAUAUAUAAAAAAAGUACUUAUCAAUGUCCCAAAAAUUGCUGUGAUGUAAAAAAUAAGUGUCCAAUCCUAAUAUGUGAACAGUGAUGUGUUCAGAUGCCUGAUGAAACGGUCUGGAAUAGACUGAGAAACGCGUUGCAAAAUAAAUACUGUUUGUUUUAUACCACGA
Molecule: long non-coding RNA, 386 nt
Organism: Bombina bombina (fire-bellied toad)
Lineage: Eukaryota; Metazoa; Chordata; Amphibia; Anura; Bombinatoridae
Exons: 2
Source: RefSeq, a predicted model, not a curated record